ACGUAGUUGGCCGGGGCUUCUUCUGGAGGUACCGUCAAUUUCGUCCCUCCUGAAAGAGGUUUACAACCCGAAGGCCGUCUUCCCUCACGCGGCAUCGCUGCGUCAGACUUUCGUCCAUUGCGCAAUAUUCCUA
This 133-nucleotide ribosomal RNA is filed under the name uncultured bacterium. RNAcentral describes it as "partial 16S ribosomal RNA". The record is from RNAcentral.